CAGAGAAUCACUGAAAUCCCAUCUGAAACUGGGGUUCAUCCAGAGGAACAGAGCUCACAGCAAAGACCACAGAAACAGAAGCCUGGCUUACUCCACAGGCUGCCAGGAACCAUCUCCAGAAGAGGGGUCUUCAAAACCAGGAGAUGGUGCUGGGCUCUGUACCACAGAGAUCAGGUUCUGAGAUGAAGAAUGGGGUUACAAAAGAGAAUCUAAAAUGAGAUAAUUCAGAAGUGGUAGAAAGAACAAGGAUUUACAGAGAAAGUUUAGUAGAAAAGUUUUUUGGCACUUUGAGUUCAAAACAGGCUAGGAGCGUGAACCAAUGACAAGAAAGUAACAUAGACAUUGUCCAGAGGAGAGUGAGGAGACAGCCCCAUCCCAGGAGAGGAUGAGUCACCAGAUAUUUUGGACUGAGAACUGGAAAAAGCUUCUAAAUGUCAUGAAUGUGGGAAAAGCUUUAGCUGAGUUUUUUUUUUUUUUUACCUUGUUCGGCAUCAGAAUCCAUAGAGCAGAGAAGCCUCACAAGUACUGUGAAUACGGAAAAGGCUUCAAUGAACACUCCAACCCCACUGCCCACCUGAGGACUCACAUAGGAGAAAGACCAUUCUAGUGUGGGGAAUGUGGGAAAAGCUUCAACCAGAGCUCCAGCCUCAUUGUUCACCAGAGGACCUACACUGGGGAGAAGCCUUAUCAGUGCACUAUCUGUGGGAAGAGAGUCAACAAGUUCCCAUUUAGCGCUCACUGGCAAGUCCACCUUGUGGAGGGCCUGUACCAGUGUGCCCAGUGUGGGAAAAGCUUUAAGAAUAGCUCCUGCUGAGGCGGCUGAUCGAUGUUUCUCUCUCAUCAAUGUUUCUAACUCUCUAUCCCUCUCCUUUCCUCUCUAAAAAAAAUCAAUAAAAUAUACUAAAAAAAAAAAAUAGCUCCUGCUUCAGUGCCCACCAGGAAACCCGCACUGGGGAAAAGCCACACAAGUGCAUCCAGUGUGAGAGAAGCUUCACUAAGAACUCUUCAUUCAUAUGCCAUCGGGAUAUACAUAAGAGAUACAUAAAAGGAAGGAAGUGAUGUCCAAGUUUGUAGAAAACCUGACAUCAACUCCUUAGGUCAACAUAUGUUUCUGAGAGCUUUCCUCUGUGGAUAGUUCUACUAGCCAAUCCCUGGCUUAGCAGUAAACUUGACAACUGGAUCUCAAGAACCAUGUCCAGGAAUAGGAAUCAACCUAAGAAUGCAGAGCCCUCUUUCUAUUUCUGCCUAGAUACUUCACAGUCUUGUCUCACUGUGGAUUUCCAUUUUGCUUUGAAGGGGAGAAGGCUAUAAAAUCCAUAAUUCCUGCUGGGAAACUACGGUAUCCUUGUUCUGAACAAAGAACAUGUAGCUAGUGGCCUAAGAACUGUUUCUGAGCCAUAUCAGGGAAUAAAUACUGUCCCCUCCUGGGGAGUACAUCUAGAAUUUUAAUAGUCUGGAUCUGUUCUAAACCAAUAAUUGACCACUAGGUACCUACUACUAUAUACUAUUGAAGCCUUCAGGUCAUAUUCUGCAACAGAGCCAUGAACAAAGGAAAGAAAGGCUAGGUUAAGCCAUUGGGUAAUAUGAAAUCAAAGCAACCUAAUCUUAAGCAAGUGUGAUAUCUAAGUUAAUUUUGUAAGAUUUCUCAUCACCAUCACUCCCAACCCAGUUUUUGGUUUCUUCUCUCGCAGCAUUUAUACAAGUUUAUAAGCAUUAUUAUCUCUGAUGAAAAUAAAGGUAUUUCUCCCUCCCCUUCCUUGGCCUAUGGUUAUAAUUUUCUCAAUUAGAAACUCUGCACUUGUGUUGAAGCCUUCAGGGUUCUGAAGAGGAUCUAUGCAGAAAGAGAAUUAGGGGCAAGAAAUAGGGAGAGGAGGAAUAGAAUUUGGUGGGAAGGAUUUGAGGUCACAGUGAAGGGAGAUCAUAGGCAUAA
Myotis brandtii (Brandt's bat) is the source of this 1930-nucleotide long non-coding RNA. RefSeq lists it as uncharacterized. Lineage: Eukaryota; Metazoa; Chordata; Mammalia; Chiroptera; Vespertilionidae. The transcript is spliced from 3 exons. The record is from RefSeq and is a predicted model, not a curated record.